This 860-nucleotide ribosomal RNA is filed under the name uncultured bacterium. RNAcentral's name for it is "bacterial SSU rRNA". It matches the Rfam family "Bacterial small subunit ribosomal RNA", at positions 21 to 879 of the family's 1533-position model. The record is from RNAcentral.
GGCUCAGAUUGACGGCNGGCGGCAUGCCUUACACAUGCAAGUCGAACGCGAAAGGGGGGCAACCCCCGAGUAGAGUGGCGAACGGGUGAGUAAUACAUCGGAACGUGUCCAGUAGCGGGGGAUAACCUCUCGAAAGAGAGGCUAAUACCGCAUACGACCUACGGGUGAAAGCAGGGGAUCGCAAGACCUUGCACUAUUGGAGCGGCCAAUGUCGGAUUAGCUAGUUGGCGGGGUAACGGCCCACCAAGGCUACGAUCCGUAGCUGGUCUGAGAGGACGACCAGCCACACUGGAACUGAGACACGGUCCAGACUCCUACGGGAGGCAACAGUGGGGAAUUUUGGACAAUGGGGGCAACCCUGAUCCAGCCAUGCCGCGUGGGUGAAGAAGGCCUUCGGGUUGUAAAGCCCUUUCGGUGGGGACGAAACGGUGCGUGCUAACACCACGCACUAAUGACGGUACCCACAGAAGAAGCACCGGCUAACUACGUGCCAGCAGCCGCGGUAAUACGUAGGGUGCAGGCGUUAAUCGGAAUUACUGGGCGUAAAGCGUGCGCAGGCGGUUUGCUAAGACAGGUGUGAAAUCCCCGGGCUUAACCUGGGAACUGCGCUUGUAACUGGCAAGCUGGAGUGUGGCAGAGGGGGGUGGAAUUCCACGUGUAGCAGUGAAAUGCGUAGAGAUGUGGAGGAACACCGAUGGCGAAGGCAGCCCCCUGGGCUAACACUGACGCUCAUGCACGAAAGCGUGGGGAGCAAACAGGAUUAGAUACCCUGGUAGUCCACGCCCUAAACUAUGUCAACUGGUUGUCGGGGAAGCAAUUCCUUGGUACGAAGCUAACGCGUGAAAGUGACCGCCUGGGGA